CUAACCACAGACACAGGAAAACAAAAGUAUGAGAACCUCCUAUUUAAUGCAUUAUUCAGUCCAAACUCCACACGCGAUUAAAACGGACGGGUUGCACAUGAAAUAGCGUGUUUGAUUCCAGCGAGAUGGAGUUUACACUGGUUUCAUGAGUAAAUGCAUCAGUCUUCUGAUCGGUUGAUAGGGAACAAUCUCCCAGCAACACAGAUUUACAGCCUCAGGAUUUGUCCUCCACCUGCAGCCUACCCAAUGUCUUUGAUCCGUCAAGGAACGGUGAAGAAUGUCUGUUGAAAGCGAACCCCUUAGAUGCCUUUCAUGUUGUCCAGACACCAGGCUGGUUUGUCAGUCCUGGGGCCAGCAAUGGGGUGUUAUUUCUGGAGAAUGACUCUGAUCCGUUGCCACUUACCACAGACCAGAUCCACCCAGACAAUGCGUUUUCCAACACAACUGUCACCCUCUCUUACGUGAGCAGGUCGCAUGUAUUCUCUUACCAUAACACCCUACCAGAACAUCCCCCAACUUACAGUGUUCCAUCCAUAAGCAAGGCUUUUGCUCUGCACCCUGCAGCCUAUGAUGCUAGCAAGCUGGCAACCGACACGGGAGAUGACACAGCUCUCUCGGUGGAUAUGGACCAACACUGCCUCCAGCAGGUGUCAGUUCCCAUAGGACUAGCGGCCUGCAAUCAAUUUGGGUUUAUGUUACGCUGUGGGUUUACACACAAAUGGCAACACUGAGGUAGUCAUUCUGAUCUCCAGAUCUGAUAAGCCAAUUUUGUUCAAUAGUGUUCCUGAACGGUCAUAUGAUCGCAAGCCAACAAAGUCAUUAGACGUGUUGUUAAAUUCCACAAAGAAAGCCCUCAGCAGGGAUAGGAAACCUAAACUCAUUACCAAUAUGGAAAACCUCUAGAAAAGGCCACUCUACAAAGCUUCAGAGGCCAACUAUGGGUACGAAUAAUUCAAGUGCUACAAAGAAAUCUCAUGCCCCCAAAAGGAAAAGAAAGAAACACAAAGUUGGCCAUACUUCCUUGUUUUCACCCCAAGAACCAGAAAUCAAGCUCAAAUAUGUGAAAUACAAAGAAGAGAAAAGGGACAUGCGAGAUGAGACCUUUGCCCCUUAUGUUCGUGUGGAACUCAAGGACUACCCGACUUGUAUGGUUGUCAGCUAUCCCAAGGAGAGUUUCAAGCUCAAGCAGGGAAAGCAGCAGGCAUCCACAGGGUUCAUGUCUGGUGUGGUGCCUGCAACGCCUUGUUUGCAAUAUGGACGAGUCUCCAUGGAUGAUGCACAAUGGGGUAGACUAGUGUGGAGUCUACCCCCACAAUGGGGUAGGACCAUAGUGACUCAGAUUCCUCUAUUAGCGCUAAGAGUGGACAUUGUGUUGCUUCAACUCAUGGCACUUGGACUUGUAAAUCUUUGCACAAGCUAUCAGAGUUGGCAGAUUUGAUGGCCUGUCAAAGAUGGACCAGUGAUAGUGAGCAGUCUAGUAGUUCUACGGAUAAGAGACCCAGGAUGGAUGCUGCCACAGACUGGUACAGCCCUCCUGUGGUUCCUCUUGAUAGUAGUGAGUAUUGGGUCCACGAGGACUGCAGUAUAUGGUCAGCAGGUGUCUUUCUGAUCAGAGGAAAACUGUAUGGACUUGAAAAUGCGAUCAUUUUGGCAAAAGAGUCGUUUUGUUCAACUUGUCAGAGAAGGGGGGCUAUGUUGGGCUGUGUUUUCAAAGGCUGCUCAAACAAGUACCACUACAUAUGUGCUGUGCAGUCAGGUAAGAGUCACAAACAGAUGUUGCUUGAUUAUGAUUGUGUUUAUUGUGCAAAACAAUACUGUAGGAGCUUAUCCCCACAUUGCAUAAAGGUCCUGACAAUGUGUUUUGAUGCCAGACAUUCUGUUAACAGCUGCUUUUGCGUCUGCAUUUGCUAAAACAAACAUGUUAAAACUUGUGCUCAGACACACAUGGAAACAUCCAUGUGCCAACAAGAGAGUGGAAAUAAAGUUGUGAA
This is a long non-coding RNA of Xyrauchen texanus (razorback sucker), 1991 nucleotides long. RefSeq lists it as uncharacterized. The record is from RefSeq and is a predicted model, not a curated record. NCBI's taxonomy places the organism in Eukaryota, Metazoa, Chordata, Actinopteri, Cypriniformes, Catostomidae. The transcript is spliced from 3 exons.